CGGAAACACGGUGCCGGAUAACGUCCGGCGGGGGCGACCCUAGGGAAAGUGCCACAGAAAGGAAACCGCCCCGCUUGCUGUACCGCUUUCGACAAAGCGGCAGAGCUAGCGGGGUAAGGGUGAAAGGGUGGGGUAAGAGCCCACCGCGCUUCUGGUAACAGCGGCGGCAAGGUAAACCCCACCGGGAGCAAGACCGAAUAGGGAUGACACGGGCCACGUGAAAACGCGGCUACAGCCUGUUUCCGGGCCAGUCAUCCGGGUGGGUUGCGUGAGGCGGCAUGCAAAUGUCGUCCCAGAUGAAUGGCUGCCACGUUCCGGUGCUUGCACCGGGG
Molecule: unclassified non-coding RNA, 332 nt
Filed under: Neorhizobium galegae
Lineage: Bacteria; Pseudomonadati; Pseudomonadota; Alphaproteobacteria; Hyphomicrobiales; Rhizobiaceae
Description: partial ribonuclease P RNA
Rfam family: Bacterial RNase P class A
About the family: Ribonuclease P (RNase P) is a ubiquitous endoribonuclease, found in archaea, bacteria and eukarya as well as chloroplasts and mitochondria. Its best characterised activity is the generation of mature 5'-ends of tRNAs by cleaving the 5'-leader elements of precursor-tRNAs.
Source: RNAcentral